CUGGGCUCGAAAUGUAGUGGACCGGGGUGGAAACAUCCCUUCCCGCAAGGGUCGCUAUAUAGGUGCUGCAUGGCUGUCGUCAGCUCGUGUCGUGAGAUGUUGGGUUAAGUCCCGCAACGAGCGCAACCCUUAUUGUCAGUUGCCAUCAUUUAGUUGGGCACUCUGGCGAAACCGCCUCGGAUAACGGGGAGGAAGGUGGGGAUGACGUCAAGUCCUCAUGGCCUUUAUGUCCAGGGCUACACACGUGCUACAAUGGUCGGUACAAACCGUCGCAAACCCGCGAGGGGGAGCUAAUCGGAAAAAGCCGACCUCAGUUCGGAUUGGAGUCUGCAACUCGACUCCAUGAAGCUGGAAUCGCUAGUAAUCGCGGAUCAGAACGCCGCGGUGAAUACGUUCCC
Molecule: ribosomal RNA, 398 nt
Filed under: uncultured soil bacterium
Lineage: Bacteria
Description: bacterial SSU rRNA
Rfam family: Bacterial small subunit ribosomal RNA
Source: RNAcentral